GGUUGUGGCUCGAUGGUAGAGCUCUUGCCUAGCAUGUGUGAGGCGCUGGGUUCGAUCCCCAGCACCA
This 67-nucleotide transfer RNA is filed under the name Marmota monax (woodchuck). RNAcentral's name for it is "tRNA.Ala". Lineage: Eukaryota; Metazoa; Chordata; Mammalia; Rodentia; Sciuridae. The record is from RNAcentral.